Molecule: long non-coding RNA, 600 nt
Filed under: Athene cunicularia (burrowing owl)
Lineage: Eukaryota; Metazoa; Chordata; Aves; Strigiformes; Strigidae
Description: lncRNA (ENSACUG00000010295.1)
Source: RNAcentral
CUGGGUGUGCGUGUAUUUCUCUGUAUUCCUUCUUUGUCAUGGCUCCGCGGUUUAAUUUAAAUACGUGUUUCACUUCUCUCCAUAUUUCAGGUUUAUUACAGAGUAUGAAAAUCAGGAAGCUUUUUGUUCACUUCAUACAUCUCUUCCAACAAAGCCAGACAUCAGAACCCAGCACAGACUCCAGAGUGAUUAUUGUUACACAUGAUCUAUGGAGCAGAUAAAUUACAGCUUGAUUUUUAUAAGAAAUCUGUGAAACGGUACAAAAAUCUGAAACCAGGAGGAGCGUGGGUUCUCCCACUUUGCUACAGAACCAGAUUCUUUUUUCCCCCCACUUUGCUCAGUUCCUGGAGGGGGAGAUGUAAAACCCAGCUGGGUACAAACGAACCGGCGGAGUUACAAGCACGAGCUCCUGCGGUGGGGAGUCCAUUUAAAUCUGCCUGGCUCAGAAUUGACCUAAGGAAAGCAAACUGGAAAGCAAGCCAAAAUAGGAGCCAAAGCCCCGGGAAGCAGUGGGGUAUAGCUGUGAAUCCUAGCAACAGGCGGAGAGAGAACUGUACGUUUCUUCACGUCCUCCAAGUGUUGGUGCCUUCUGGUACAUAA